CAUAAAAAGGAUUUGUGGCUAUUUAGCUAAUGAACUUGUGGCUUCACAAUUGAGGGGGGAGAGAGUGGCUUUUUCUUUUCUUUUUUUCUUUUUUUUUUUGGUGAUGAAAAGAGAGUGGCUAUUUAGCUAAUAAACUUGCAAUGCUUUUCGACAGGAAAAACAAAAAAACAAAAAAAAACCUUUAAAUGAGCGCUUCAAUCAAAGAUUAAAAGUACUUAGAUUAAGAACUCAAACAGGGCCUUAGUGAUUCGUAUUGCCAGUCUCUUGCGCAAAAGCGAUCACCCUCUCCAUUCACUCAAAGCGAUUCAAGCAGCAGAUACUAAUCUCUGAUGUCGAUCUUCGAGUACAAUGGGAGUGCCCUGAUCGCAAUGGUGGGCAAGAACUGCUUCGCCAUUGCAAGCGAUCGAAGGCUCGGUGUUCAGCUCCAGACAAUCGCCACCGAUUUCCAGAGAAUUCAUAGAGUUCACGAUGGGCUCUUUAUCGGCCUCUCUGGUCUCGCCAUCGAUGCUUAGACCCUACCCUGUAUGUAUAUGCCCCUCUCACCUUGUUUAAUAGAAAGACAUUAACUUUUGGGUUGAUGAUGAAGGUUUCAGAGGCUUUUGUUUCGGCACAAGCUGUACCAGCUUCGUAAAGACAGAGACAUAAAGCCUGAGACUUUUGCGUCUCUGCUAUUCUUUAUGAGAAAAGCCUGUAAUUGCUGGAUUGGGAGAUGAAGGUAAGCCAUUCUUCUGCACUAUGGAUUCAACUGGAGCCAAGUAGGUUUGUUUUUUCUUUUCCCUUUCUUUUCCGACUUUUUCGCAUUUUUAGAGCUGCUGGGAUGGGAUGCUAAGGACUUCAAACAAAUUUCUUCAACCUUCCUAAGUAGAAUGCAUAUGCAUGUUUACUCGUAUUUUGAUUUUAUAUGUUUAUGUGCAUCUAUCAUUUCAUAUUGGUAUUAUUUGUCUUCUGUGUAUGCUCCCUACUAGCCAAGAUUUUGUUGUUGCUGGCACUGCAUCAGAGUCCCUUUAUGGUGCUUGUGAGGCAAUGUUCAAGUCUGAGAUGGUUUGUUGCUUUGUUCUUUCCACUGGGCAGUCAAGAUUUGUUAUUUGAUCUGCUUACAUUUUUUCGUAUUUGAGAUUUUCAUUUGAAUACACUUUAGAUGUUAUGGAAAAUCAUAUAAUUAACAUUCGAGAACUUGAAUCCAUGCUGUCACUGGCCAUGACUUUUUAAGUCUUUGUUAUUAUCACACUACUGAUAGUAGCAGAGAAAGGGUCUACAGAAUAGAAGUCAAGAAAAAACAAGCUGAGGGAUCUCCUAAGUUUUACCUUCUUGGUCCUAUAUUGUCAGCAGCCAAGUGCUUCUUGAACUAGACAUAUAUGGGGAUAAACAAUUGGCUUCCUUGCCAGAUGUGCUUGAAUAAUAAUUCGUAGGAUUUUUUGGCGCUUAACUCGUGGUAGAAUUUAUUACGCGCUAAUUAGUUAGACGUAAUUGGGUUGGUGAUUGCUGCUUUUACUUCUAAUUCUAAAUUUGGUACUCCUGUUUAUUUUCUUACUAUUUGCAGGAACUGUAAUAACAGUAUAUUUUCUAAUUAUUUAGGGAACCAGAGGAAUUCUUUGAGAUUGUUUCUCAAGCAUUGCUAUCAUCAGAUGAUCAAGAUUGUCUGAGUGGGUGGGGAGGCCAUGUCUAUGUAGUAAACACCAACUGAAGUGAAGAAGAGGAUCUUGAAGGGCAGAAUGGAUUGACCUAGCUUCCAGCAUUUACCCAACCCUUCUAAAUUUCGUUCAGGCUGCUGCAUUUUCUCCUCUCAUGUAUAUUUAUGCAGCUUUGACUUGAAUGGGCAGCCAUAAGCCUUCUUGGUGACCAAAGGUCCCCUUGUUAUGUGGUGGGUAAAGUUUAGUGUAAUUUAAUCAAGAAGACUCAGAGUUGGAUAAUCUGAUUUAUACUACACAAUUUUGUUUUUUUUGUUAUGAAAAGACAUAACAACCCAAAUUUAUUUGUUUAUGUUUUAAGCUUUGCGUCA
This is a long non-coding RNA of Prunus persica (peach), 1999 nucleotides long. RefSeq lists it as uncharacterized. The transcript is spliced from 4 exons. The record is from RefSeq and is a predicted model, not a curated record. NCBI's taxonomy places the organism in Eukaryota, Viridiplantae, Streptophyta, Magnoliopsida, Rosales, Rosaceae.